AGUGGCGGACGGGUGAGUAACGCGUGGGUAACCUGCCUCAUACAGGGGGAUAACAGUUAGAAAUGACUGCUAAUACCGCAUAAGACCACAGCACCGCAUGGUGCAGGGGUAAAAACUCCGGUGGUAUGAGAUGGACCCGCGUCUGAUUAGGUAGUUGGUGGGGUAACGGCCUACCAAGCCGACGAUCAGUAGCCGACCUGAGAGGGUGACCGACCACAUUGGGACUGAGACACGGCCCAA
Molecule: ribosomal RNA, 240 nt
Filed under: uncultured bacterium
Lineage: Bacteria
Description: partial 16S ribosomal RNA
Rfam family: Bacterial small subunit ribosomal RNA
Source: RNAcentral